UUCCAAGAUUUUCUCACUUGAUUUCUACUUUCUUGGUGCAAAAUAACCUCCCUUCCCAUGGUUAUUUAUAAGCCAAAAAUUUUACUAUUUAUUAAUUUUUUAUAGUAUUUAUUAUUUGAUAAUAUUUUAAAAUUAUUUUAAUAUAUUAAUAUUUUAAUCACCAUUUACUCGUAUCUGACUCUUUAAUCAUUCAUUCCAAC
This 200-nucleotide long non-coding RNA is filed under the name Vigna radiata. Its description in RNAcentral is "long non-coding RNA (VRAD_LNC009725)". The record is from RNAcentral. Lineage: Eukaryota; Viridiplantae; Streptophyta; Magnoliopsida; Fabales; Fabaceae.